UGCGGAAGGAUCAUUACCGAGUGCAGGUCUGCCCCCGGGCAGGCCUAACCUCCCACCCGUGAAUACCUGACCAACGUUGCUUCGGCGGUGCGCCCCCCCCCCGGGGGUAGCCGCCGGAGACCACACCGAACCUCCUGUCUUUAGUGUUGUCUGAGCUUGAUAGCAAACCUAUUAAAACUUUCAACAAUGGAUCUCUUGGUUCCGGCAUCGAUGAAGAACGCAGCGAACUGCGAUAAGUAAUGUGAAUUGCAGAAUUCAGUGAAUCAUCGAGUCUUUGAACGCACAUUGCGCCCCCUGGCAUUCCGGGGGGCAUGCCUGUCCGAGCGUCAUUGCUGCCCUUCAAGCCCGGCUUGUGUGUUGGGUCGUCGUCCCCCCCGGGGGACGGGCCCGAAAGGCAGCGGCGGCACCGCGUCCGGUCCUCGAGCGUAUGGGGCUUUGUCACCCGCUCGAUUAGGGCCGGCCGGGCGCCAGCCGGCGUCUCCAACCUUCUAUUUUACCAGGUUGACCUCGGAUCAGGUAGGGAUACCCGCUGAA
Molecule: unclassified non-coding RNA, 534 nt
Filed under: Aspergillus pseudodeflectus
Lineage: Eukaryota; Fungi; Ascomycota; Eurotiomycetes; Eurotiales; Aspergillaceae
Description: sequence contains ITS1, 5.8S rRNA gene, ITS2
Rfam family: 5.8S ribosomal RNA (bases 176-329)
Source: RNAcentral